CCUCACUGAAUUUUCUUGGGGGUUCCUUUUCUUGUCUUGUGGUUUCCUUUUCUCUUGCCUCUUUUUUAGCUAUGCAUUCCUGUCCGGUUCCAACAACUCGUCGUCCGUCAGUUCCUUAGGAACCACCUCCAGGAGCUUCUCAACGUCGUUCUCACCCAGGUUAAAGUUGUUUGCCGUCUCAGCCACGGCCUUGUUGACUUUUGCAGCCUCCUCAUCCUUGGCAAAUCCUUUGGAGUCAUAUACGAACCUCCUGAGUGUCUUCUUCCAGAUGCCAUUCAUACACUCCUUGGUGACAUGACUCCAAGCCCAAGCAACGUUCUUGAUGUAGUCGUAGAUGUUGUAAUCCUUCCAGAACUGCAUCAGUGUCUUCCUCAUGUUACUGAACCAGCAGAUCCUUUAACAGCUUCCAUCACUUUGUUCCUGUUCUUCAGGAUCGCAGCUGCGGUGGAAUGGGACAUGCCUGACUGGUUUCACUUCAGGAUCUCCUUGUAUCCUGUCCACUCACCUCUCUCCAGGAUAAAGGGUGUCCUCACUUUCAUGGAACUGCCAGACUGUUUUCCAAAGUGACUUCAUCAUUUUACAUUCCCAUCAGCAAUGUACGAGGGCUCCAGUUUCUCCACAUCUUCACCAACGCUUGUUAUCUUCUGUGUUUUUUAUAAGAGCCAUCCUGAUGGGUGUGAUGCUGUAUCUCAUUGCGGUUUUGAUUUACAUUUUCCUAAGGACUAAUGAUGUUGAGUAUCUUCCCAUGUACUUAUUG
RNAcentral lists this long non-coding RNA (757 nucleotides) under Equus caballus (horse). RNAcentral's name for it is "lncRNA (ENSECAG00000044021.1)". The record is from RNAcentral. Lineage: Eukaryota; Metazoa; Chordata; Mammalia; Perissodactyla; Equidae.